This 407-nucleotide non-coding RNA is filed under the name Pan troglodytes (chimpanzee). The record is from RNAcentral. Lineage: Eukaryota; Metazoa; Chordata; Mammalia; Primates; Hominidae.
UUAAAUCAUCCAUUUAAAGAUGUCAGACAACCUCCGUGUUCUAAGGACACAGCAUGUACAACCUCACAUAGAGUUCCUGACCAGACAAGACUUGCUGGAAAUUUCCCAGAAUCUUCCUUCCUUAAGCUUGAAUAGCUCUCUGGUUCCAGUUUGAAGCUGAAAAGGUUAAAUUCUACCUGAAAGAUGAAAACAACCAACAUUCUGUGCCAAGACAGUCAGGAGGGCAACUAUGUUUCCUGGUGGAGCCUCUGGAACCACUCAAGCCAAGAUGACCGGGGGUUUGGCUGGGAGGAGAUGGGGAAACUACAGACCCUACAGAUGGUUUCCUGCACCAUGAGGUUAAGCCUGGGGGCAGGAGAGGCUGUGCCUUAGUUCCUUCAUCUGUAAAAUAAAGUAACAUAGUACCU